This 589-nucleotide ribosomal RNA is filed under the name Navicula salinicola. RNAcentral's name for it is "bacterial SSU rRNA". It matches the Rfam family "Bacterial small subunit ribosomal RNA", at positions 145 to 762 of the family's 1533-position model. Lineage: Eukaryota; Bacillariophyta; Bacillariophyceae; Naviculales; Naviculaceae. The record is from RNAcentral.
AACAACUGGAAACGGUUGCUAAUACCCCAUAUGCUUUCGAGUGAAAUGGAUUUUUCCGCCUAAAGAGAAGCUUGCGGCUGAUUAGCUUGUUGGUGAGGUAAUGGCUCACCAAGGCGACGAUCAGUAUCUGGUUUGAGAGGACGAUCAGACACACUGGAACUGAGACACGGUCCAGACUCCUACGGGAGGCAGCAGUGGGGAAUUUUCCGCAAUGGGCGAAAGCCUGACGGAGCAAUACCGCGUGAGGGAUGACGGCCUAUGGGUUGUAAACCUCUUUUUUCAGGGAGGAAUCAAAUGACGUGUACCUGAAGAAUAAGCAUCGGCUAACUCCGUGCCAGCAGCCGCGGUAAGACGGAGGAUGCAAGUGUUAUCCGGAAUCACUGGGCGUAAAGCGUCUGUAGGUGGUCCAAUAAGUCAACUGUUAAAUCUUGAGGCUCAACCUCAAAACCGCAGUCGAAACUAUUAGACUAGAGUAUAGUAGGGGUAAAGGGAAUUUCCAGUGGAGCGGUGAAAUGCGUAGAGAUUGGAAAGAACACCGAUGGCGAAGGCACUUUACUGGGCUAUUACUGACACUCAGAGACGAAAGCUA